This 253-nucleotide ribosomal RNA is filed under the name uncultured bacterium. RNAcentral's name for it is "partial 16S ribosomal RNA". It matches the Rfam family "Bacterial small subunit ribosomal RNA", at positions 524 to 776 of the family's 1533-position model. The record is from RNAcentral.
UACGGAGGGUGCAAACGUUGCUCGGAAUCAUUGGGCGUAAAGCGCACGUAGGCGGCCCGCCAAGUCGGACGUGAAAGCCCAGGGCUCAACCCUGGAAGUGCGUUCGAAACUGACGGGCUUGAAUAUGGAAGAGGGUCGCGGAAUUCCCGGUGUAGAGGUGAAAUUCGUAGAUAUCGGGAGGAACACCAGUGGCGAAGGCGGCGACCUGGGCCAAUAUUGACGCUGAGGUGCGAAAGCGUGGGGAGCAAACAGG